AUAAAAUCAGGAAACAUCUGACAGAGAUCACGCAGCGGGCACCCACUAUGGGUUUCAUCAUCGCUCACUUCCCUUGGAUCAACUAGAAAUCAACUCAGAUGAGAGUGCUGAGUCUCAGAGGAUGGACGUCUCACUCCUUGCCAUACAGAUAAGUAGAAAGGGUGGUAUUGAAAUUAAUGGCCAGACUCUAAGUCCCGGGCACUAUACUUGAUGGUCUCCCAACCCUCAAAAUGUUGUGGGUUCUUUUUUGUUUUUGAGACGGAGUCUCAUUCUGUUUCCCAGGCUGGAGUGCAGUGGAGCGAUCUCGGCUCACUGCAACCUCCGCAUCCCAGGUUCAAGCUAUUCUCUUGCCUCAGCCUGCCGAGUAGCUGAGAUUUCAGGCGCCCGCCACUACGCCUGGCUUAUUUUUUUCUCUUUUUAGGAGAGACGGGGUUUCACCGUGUUGGCUAGGCUGGUCUCGAACACCUGACCUUGUGAUUUGCCUGCCUCAGCCUCCCAAAGUGCUGGGAUAACAGGCGUGAGCCACCACGCCCAGCUUCAAAAGUUUUCAACAGAGCUCAGAGGUCUUAACCACAGGCACAUCCGAGGAGCAUUUUUGAAAUGGUUUCCAGCUUCCUCAAUAGGAAUGGAAGCCAAACCCGGAACUGAUGGCUCCUUGGAGGAAGUCGAGAGCUGUAAGGAAAGCCAGGAACAGGGGCAAGGGAGAGAUGCAUCCCGAAUGAUCCUGUGCCAAUUCUUUCUGGAAUCUUUGAUGUGAUCUCCGCUGCCCUUUCCAUACUUGACACAGUGAUUGUGGCACCCACUGGUCUAGCUGUGGUCUACAAGGAACCCCCAAAGGGAAGGGCACAGUGAGCAGGGGCAUCGGCCUGAGUGACAAGGAUUGGAGGGGGCAGGUUGGAUGCAGGGAGAGGACUGGCCAAAUGCCAUGUGUCUGGCUUAGACUACCUUGUUCAAAUUGGGCUUCACCAUUUUUGACUUCGUGAUCUGGUACAAGUUAUAUGAAAAUGUGUUGCUCCUUUUCUAGUCUGUAAAAUCAUAAGGAAAUGUGCACUAAUAACUGGGAGACUAUGCAGAUGAAAUGAAACAAGCUGCAUAGAACACAGAGCUCAGAGCCUGGCCUUUAGGAAGCCCUCAGUAAGGGUUCAUGAUGCCAUGGUGUCUGUCAUCAUCCUCUUUAUCCUCAUCAUCACCUUCAUCAUCUUUUUGUUGUUCUGAGGGCAUACUUUAGAGGGACUCAUUCCCUGCUCUCAUGGGUGAGAUGUCUAUGAAGAGGACAACCAGUGGGGGAGGGAAGCAAAAUUUUGAAGAAGAUUCCUGAGAGAGAUCCCCCACCACAACCAAGAACAGAAACUCCACAGUCUGCUGAGCUGACAGUUUGCACAUUGGUCUCCUCCCAUCUGCCCACGGCACUCUCCCGUUUGUCCUGAAGAUGAGGAAACAAACAAGGCUCCCGACCGUCCCUCAGCACUCACUGAACGGCCCUUCCCCUCUGCUGGGCCAUGACCACGGAGAACAGGUCCACUGUCCUCCCUGAGUGGUGCACAUGGGAGGCUCAGACUCCGUCCUCAAGGCUGGUAAGAAGACAGGGUGAGACAUGAGCCUCCUGAUACAGGUGACGGGUGUGGAGCCCACAGGACUGCAACCUCACACUGCAGGGCUGGAGGCACAGACUGAGUAUUUCCUAUUCUAUGGCCUGGGGGGCUCAAGGCACAGAGCUCCUCAUUAGCCAGAGUCGCCCAUGUUCCCCAUGCUCUAAGGAUUUCCUCAUCAUCAUGCAAGAAGAAGAAUAGAAAAAAGGAAGAGGAAGAAACAAAAGGAACUUCUCUCUUAGAUUUAAUUCUGACCUACCAGGAAGAACUGGAUUGUUGAAGCAGAAGUACUGGAGUCUCUGGAGCUAGUGAGUCAGAGAAUGUCUUUCACAGCAGGGAUUAAAAUGCCCAAUGAAAACCUUUCUGGAAAGGCUCUGAUGUGGGUUCUAAAUGGGUACACAGUUCUCAGAAGGUCAGAGGAAAUUACAGUUUGAUCCCAUAAUCAAAUAAUCUGAAAGAGAAGACAGAAUGAGAGGGAUGGGAGGAUCUCCAAAAUGAAAUCCCGAGAACAAAAGAGUAUGAAUCUUGAUAAGAAGUAAAAGAGUUUGGCUUCAAAAAUACCAGUGUGACUAGCAGAGAGCAAUUUAAUGAGUUUAAUUUGUCAAAGGACUGGGCAAUAAAUGGAAGAAGUUUA
Molecule: long non-coding RNA, 2223 nt
Filed under: Homo sapiens (human)
Lineage: Eukaryota; Metazoa; Chordata; Mammalia; Primates; Hominidae
Description: HSALNT0210937
Source: RNAcentral